UCCAAUCAAUUUUGUUGGACCUGGCGGUAUUACAUAUAUACAAUUGGCUGCUUGCACUUAAGGUUCUAAUGAUUUUAAUUAUUGUUUUGACAAACGAUCCACAGGAGUUCAUUAUUCUUUCAUCUUCUUGUUGUUCCUUUCUCUUCUUUUUGGGUGUGUUGGUUUCUAUGUGGGGGAUUGGUUAGAAGAGUAAUUAAAGCAUCAGUUGAACAAAAAGAUCAUUUAGUUGGCGAAAAAGAGCUAGAAAACGAGAAAGCCAGCCAAAUGGAUAAUAAUAGCACUCAAUGUACUGCUAUGGCAAAUGAGGAAUUGAUAUGCAUGCAAGGUGUUUGAUGAAAUGCGAAAAAAAAAAAUUUGUUUCAUGAAGUGGGAUUAAGUGAUUGAGCUUAUUGCUGGGUAAAUAUGUUUCAAGUAAUGCUUCUGAUUUCUAUUUGUACUACUGAUUCGUUACACAUUUAAAUAUUUUUGGCUAUUUUUUUAAAGAUUUUGUAACCUUUUCCCACGUUUUACGUGUGUCCACUUGUUUCCAUAUGUAUCCAUGGCAUCUAGUUGUAUUGAAAGUUUCAUAAAAUACUAGAUUUUGAAUAAAUUAAAUAAAAUGCAUUUCUUGAGUUUAUGUGGACAAAUCAUG
Molecule: unclassified non-coding RNA, 631 nt
Filed under: Hevea brasiliensis (rubber tree)
Lineage: Eukaryota; Viridiplantae; Streptophyta; Magnoliopsida; Malpighiales; Euphorbiaceae
Source: RNAcentral